RNAcentral lists this small RNA (91 nucleotides) under Gopherus agassizii (Agassiz's desert tortoise). Its description in RNAcentral is "TUC338 (ENSGAGG00000003148.1)". The record is from RNAcentral. Lineage: Eukaryota; Metazoa; Chordata; Testudines; Testudinidae.
CACAGAAAAGGUACAGCACCAGCAGCGCAAGCUUCCUCCACUCAGCCCCGUUAAUGAGCCUCCGUCCUGACCUGAAGAGACCACUUCUACU